RNAcentral lists this ribosomal RNA (436 nucleotides) under Escherichia coli. RNAcentral's name for it is "bacterial SSU rRNA". It matches the Rfam family "Bacterial small subunit ribosomal RNA", at positions 1 to 433 of the family's 1533-position model. Lineage: Bacteria; Pseudomonadati; Pseudomonadota; Gammaproteobacteria; Enterobacterales; Enterobacteriaceae. The record is from RNAcentral.
AAAUUGAAGAGUUUGAUCAUGGCUCAGAUUGAACGCUGGCGGCAGGCCUAACACAUGCAAGUCGAACGGUAACAGGAAGAAGCUUGCUUCUUUGCUGACGAGUGGCGGACGGGUGAGUAAUGUCUGGGAAACUGCCUGAUGGAGGGGGAUAACUACUGGAAACGGUAGCUAAUACCGCAUAACGUCGCAAGACCAAAGAGGGGGACCUUCGGGCCUCUUGCCAUCGGAUGUGCCCAGAUGGGAUUAGCUAGUAGGUGGGGUAACGGCUCACCUAGGCGACGAUCCCUAGCUGGUCUGAGAGGAUGACCAGCCACACUGGAACUGAGACACGGUCCAGACUCCUACGGGAGGCAGCAGUGGGGAAUAUUGCACAAUGGGCGCAAGCCUGAUGCAGCCAUGCCGCGUGUAUGAAGAAGGCCUUCGGGUUGUAAAGUAC